This 482-nucleotide ribosomal RNA is filed under the name uncultured bacterium. RNAcentral's name for it is "bacterial SSU rRNA". It matches the Rfam family "Bacterial small subunit ribosomal RNA", at positions 382 to 880 of the family's 1533-position model. The record is from RNAcentral.
CCUGACGGAGCAAUGCCGCGUGUGGGAUGAAGCAUCUCUGGUGUGUAAACCACUGUCAGGGGACGGAACCAAUGAUUGUCCCCAGAGGAAGUGGCGACUAACUCUGUGCCAGCAGUCGCGGUAAUACAGAGGCCACAAGCAUUAGUCGGAAUCACUGGGCUUAAAGGGUCCGCAGGCGGUCCUCCAAGCGUUUUGUGAAAUCCCAUGGCUCAACCAUGGAACAGCAGAGCGAACUGGAGGACUUGAAGAAGGUAGGGGCCGCCGGAACAGUAGGUGGAGCGGUGAAAUGCGUAGAUAUCUACUGGAACGCCGAUGGUGAAGACGGGCGGCUGGGCCUUUCUUGACGCUAAGGGACGAAAGCGUGGGGAUCAAACAGGAUUAGAUACCCUGGUAGUCCACGCUGUAAACGAUGUGCACUAGACUGGUGCGGUUUUGACGCCGUAUCAGUCGUAGUAAAAACGAUAAGUGCACCGCCUGGGGAG